This 852-nucleotide unclassified non-coding RNA is filed under the name Hevea brasiliensis (rubber tree). The record is from RNAcentral. Lineage: Eukaryota; Viridiplantae; Streptophyta; Magnoliopsida; Malpighiales; Euphorbiaceae.
CCCCCUCUGACUGCAAACAUGGUUAUUUAUAGAUGCAUAGAAAUUCAUACAAAAUAGAUGAUGCCCUCAGCGAGGCCAUGGGCAGGUCUGCUCAAUUGAAGAAAUUCCACAUUCAAUCAGCUAUCUUGAACAGGUGAUUCAAAAUUUCAGAAGCACUGGCAACUAGAGAAUUGGGACACUCGCUCAAAAAUUUCAGAAGCUCCUAUACGAAAAAAAAAAAAAACACCCACCAUGGAUGUUGAGAUUGCGUGGUGGGAUUCACCUUGUUCUGCUUCAAAAAACCACUCCACAAGGAGAUUUGAGUCCAAAGCAGUGCCUGGAUUAAGUCCACUGUCACAUCUCUUGCUAAAACCCCAACUCCUCUCUCCUCAUCCCUUAUGAUUUAAGAGGAGCAGAAGAAAAGAACAGAAAGAGCUAUCACAAUAAACCCACAAGUUUUCUAGAUGUUUAGUUUGAUUCGUCAUCAUGGGCACAUUAAUAAGAUACUGCAAUUUUUGGCACAGUUCUCAAGAGGACAUCACUGAGCACAAGAGAUCAUCUCCUAAGUUCAUUCACACAUACAAACACUAGAAAAUGAUAAAUAAUAAGAAAUGCCUCUUGUUUGUGCUAACAUAGAAUCUUCUCAGCACUGUACAAUUCAACAACAGGACAACAAGAACAUACUGGAGCUAAUGUGCAAGAAAAGUACCUCUCCAUCACACAUCAAUGAUUAUCCAGUCAUCUCUUCCUUCGCUUUGUCUCCACCUUGGCUUCAACAGAAGGUGAUACUGGGAAUGCAUUUAAAGUUCUUUUGGCAUCAUGAUCAGAGCAACAGUCAAAACAUAGAAAGUGAUCCAAUUUUUUGGCUUCUUC